RNAcentral lists this ribosomal RNA (727 nucleotides) under Streptomyces sp. RNAcentral's name for it is "bacterial SSU rRNA". It matches the Rfam family "Bacterial small subunit ribosomal RNA", at positions 137 to 876 of the family's 1533-position model. Lineage: Bacteria; Bacillati; Actinomycetota; Actinomycetes; Kitasatosporales; Streptomycetaceae. The record is from RNAcentral.
UCUGGGACAAGCCCUGGAAACGGGGUCUAAUACCGGAUAAUACUCCUGCCUGCAUGGGCGGGGGUUGAAAGCUCCGGCGGUGAAGGAUGAGCCCGCGGCCUAUCAGCUUGUUGGUGGGGUAAUGGCCCACCAAGGCGACGACGGGUAGCCGGCCUGAGAGGGCGACCGGCCACACUGGGACUGAGACACGGCCCAGACUCCUACGGGAGGCAGCAGUGGGGAAUAUUGCACAAUGGGCGAAAGCCUGAUGCAGCGACGCCGCGUGAGGGAUGACGGCCUUCGGGUUGUAAACCUCUUUCAGCAGGGAAGAAGCGAAAGUGACGGUACCUGCAGAAGAAGCGCCGGCUAACUACGUGCCAGCAGCCGCGGUAAUACGUAGGGCGCAAGCGUUGUCCGGAAUUAUUGGGCGUAAAGAGCUCGUAGGCGGCUUGUCACGUCGGAUGUGAAAGCCCGAGGCUUAACCUCGGGUCUGCAUUCGAUACGGGCUAGCUAGAGUGUGGUAGGGGAGAUCGGAAUUCCUGGUGUAGCGGUGAAAUGCGCAGAUAUCAGGAGGAACACCGGUGGCGAAGGCGGAUCUCUGGGCCAUUACUGACGCUGAGGAGCGAAAGCGUGGGGAGCGAACAGGAUUAGAUACCCUGGUAGUCCACGCCGUAAACGUUGGGAACUAGGUGUUGGCGACAUUCCACGUCGUCGGUGCCGCAGCUAACGCAUUAAGUUCCCCGCCUGG